RNAcentral lists this transfer RNA (88 nucleotides) under Alphaproteobacteria bacterium. RNAcentral's name for it is "tRNA-Leu". It matches the Rfam family "tRNA". From Rfam's summary of the family: Transfer RNA (tRNA) molecules are approximately 80 nucleotides in length. The record is from RNAcentral. Lineage: Bacteria; Pseudomonadati; Pseudomonadota; Alphaproteobacteria.
GCCUGGGUGGCGGAAUUGGUAGACGCAACAGACUUAAAAUCUGUCGCUCUUUAUGGGCGUGCCGGUUCGACUCCGGCCCUAGGCACCA